Molecule: ribosomal RNA, 678 nt
Filed under: Rhizoctonia sp. A12 FG-2013
Lineage: Eukaryota; Fungi; Basidiomycota; Agaricomycetes; Cantharellales; Ceratobasidiaceae
Description: eukaryotic LSU rRNA
Rfam family: 5.8S ribosomal RNA (bases 214-367)
Source: RNAcentral
CGCUAAUGAUAUGUGGAGUUGGUUGUAGCUGGUCCGCUGGAUUUUUUAAAUAAAUUCCUUUGGACAUGUGCACGCCUUCUCUUUCAUCCACACACACCUGUGCACCUGUGAGGCAGAUGUUGGGGGACUUUAUUGCACCCUCUCUGUCUACUUAAUUUACACAAACUCAAUUUAUUUUAAAACGAAUGUAAUUGAUGUAACGCAUCUAAUACUAAGUUUCAACAACGGAUCUCUUGGCUCUCGCAUCGAUGAAGAACGCAGCGAAAUGCGAUAAGUAAUGUGAAUUGCAGAAUUCAGUGAAUCAUCGAAUCUUUGAACGCACCUUGCGCUCCUUGGUAUUCCUUGGAGCAUGCCUGUUUGAGUAUCAUGAAAUCUUCAAAGUCAAUCUUUUUGUUAAUUCAAUGGGUGGUGCUUUGGUAUUGGAGGUCUUUUGCAGCUUCACACCUGCUCCUCUUUGUUCAUUAGCUGGAUCUCAGUGUUAUGCUGGGUCCCACUCGGCGUGAUAAGUUAUCUAUCGCUGAGGACACUUUCUAUAAAAAGGUGGGCCACGGUAAAUGCAGAUAAACCCGCUUCCCAUAGUCCAUAUUGCUUGUGACAAAAAUUAUUUUUAUGAUCUGAUCCCAAAUCAGGUGGGACUCCCCCGCUGAACUUAAGCAUAUCAUAAGGGGGGAGAGAGAA